RNAcentral lists this long non-coding RNA (4010 nucleotides) under Nicotiana tabacum (common tobacco). RNAcentral's name for it is "long non-coding RNA (NTAB_LNC011836)". The record is from RNAcentral. Lineage: Eukaryota; Viridiplantae; Streptophyta; Magnoliopsida; Solanales; Solanaceae.
AUACGAAAGUCAAAUAAAUAUGAAACUACACAGUCCCAAAUAUCUGGUGUCAAGAGUCUAGAGCCUCUAAUACAUAACUGACUGUCUAAUACAUCAUAAAUCUAGAAAAUGCGGAAAAGAACAAGAUAGGAAGAAGAAAAUAGGGUUGUGGAUGUCAUGCAGCUACCUUGCAAUCUCCGACAAACUCUAGAUCAGCUGAGGACCCUCACUCUACCGCUCGGGCACCUGGAUCUACACACGAGGUGCAGGGAGUAACGUGAGUACGCCAACUCAGUAUGUAGCUAAAGUAAAUAAGGUUUGAAAGUAGUGACAAGCACUUAAGAAUCAUAUAAAUAAUACACAACAGGAUAACAGAUCAAACUUCAUAGUUUAAAAUUAGUUUCGUCGUAAUAUCAUCAAUUUCAGUUUAAAUACUUGAAAUCAUAUACUUAGCAAUUUUUUCAACAGAACCUUAUUUUAAAAGAAGAGUAAAAUCAGUAAAAGUAUCAUAACUGGGCCCCUCGGACAAGGUAUCACUCAGAAUAUGGCCUCUCGGGCAGCCUCUCAGUCAGUCUUGACUCAACUUUCGUCACUCAGUACUCACUCUCAGCACUUAGGCUCAUUAAUAUCUCAUAAUAAUAGAAAUCAUAGUAACCGCUGCGGCGUGCAGCCCGGUCCAUAGUUUAUAGUCGACUACGCUCACUGGGGGUGUACAGACUCCGGAAGGACUCCUACAGCCCAAGCGUCAUAUCGUUGUGGUGCGCAGCCCGAUCCAAUAUAUAUAUGUAUCACUGCGGCAUGCAAUAUGAUCCAUAUAAGUAUCGUAGUGGCAUGCUACCUGAUCCAUAACUCAUACAUAUAUAAAUACCCUUACCAUUAGGUUCUCAACCUCUCUCAGUCAUUAACCUCAUAGCCUCUCGGGCACAACAGUAGAAAUUAGGGAACUCAGUCUAAACAAUCCUCAUAUUUAGAAGUGGAGUGAUAAAACCAGCUUUAAAUAUUUAAACAGAUAAAACAUGACUGAGGAUAUGCUUUCAAUAAGUAGAGUGAGGAAAAACAGUAACAAUGCCCCUAAGGGUCUCAAUAGGUCGGCACAAGGCCCUAAACAUGGCAUACAACCCAUAAUACAGUAUAAAUGACUAAAGUAUGGAAUAAUAUCAGAUUCCAAAUCAAAUACACGGCUUAAUAGUCACUAUGGGACGGACCAAGUCACAAUCCCUUUCGGUGCACGCCCACAUGCUCGUCACCUAGCAUGUGCGUCACCGCAUUUGUCAAACAAGUCAAUACCGGGGUGUUGUACUCUUAGUUCUAGAUUUACAAUGGUUACUUACCUCAAACCGGUGAAAAUACUACUCCGCGACGCCUUUUCCCCUCGAAUCGGCCUCCACUCGCGUCGAAUCUAUCCAAAAUUAGAGUCACAACGUCAAAAUAUGCUAAGGGAACGAAGCCCAAGCAAAAACAAUCAAAUAAUACCAAAAAUCUCGAAAUUGGCCAAACCCGACCCCCGGGCUAAUGUCUCGAAAGUCGAUAAAAAUCACAUCAAUGGAAUCUUUAUCCUCCCACGAGUCCAUACAUACCAAGAACACUGAAAUCAGAGUCAAAUGACCCCUCAAAUUCUCAUUUUAAAGUCUCUUAAUAUCAAGCCUUAAUUCCUCAAUUUUAGGCUUAGAUUCCAUGAUUUAUUAGGUAGAUUUCACAUUAGAAUCGAGUUUUAAGUCCAAAUUCUUACCUCCAAGUUGUUCCCCAAAAUCGCGGACAAGACGACUAUUUAUACCUUCUGCCCAGGCCUGAAAUCCUUCUAUGCGAACGCGGUCAAAGCCUCGCGUUCGCGAAGCACAAAAUAAACUUGAACAAAAUUCCUCUUUCACGAUCACGGCCACCCCAACGGGAAAACGAUGCUUUACUCAGACAGACCUUCGCGAUCGCGUUUCCCCUAUCGCGAAUGUGAUGAAUUAAAUUCCCCUGAAGCUCAGCUGCCCAUUUCUUUUACGCGAAUGCGAGAACACCCCCGUGAACGCGAUGCACAGAUGCCCAGCCCUUUGCGAACGCGGAGCCUUCCUCGCGAAUGUGAAGGCUUAAAUUCCAACUUCCUCAACUGACCCUUCGCGAAUGCAAGGACCUCUCACGAAAGCGAAUUUCAUUUUUCUGCAGCACUGACCUGCAAUUUUCUGCGGUUCCAAACUUCAUGGAAUGGCCCGAUUGACCACCCGAAACUCACCCGAGGCACCCGAAACCUCAACCAAACGCACCAACAUAUCCCAAAAUCUUAUUCAAACUUAUACCGAUCUUCAAAACACCUCAAACAAUAUCAAAUUAACCAAAACACAUCGGAUUCAAGCCUAAAUUUCCAAAAUCUUCCGAAUUCCGCUUUUGAUCAAAAACCCAACCAAACCACGUUCGAAUGACUUGAAAUUUUGCGCACACAUCCCAAAUGACAAAAUGGAACUACGGCAACUCUUGGAAUCCAAUUCCGACCAUCAUAUCAAAAUCUCACCUACCAACCGAAAAUCGCCAAAAAUUCAAUUUCGCCAAUUCAAGCCUACAUCUACUCUGGAGCUCCAAAACUCAUUCUGAUCACGCUCCUAAGUCCCAAAUCACCUCCUGAAGCUAACUGAACCAUCGGAACUCACAUUCGAGCACUCUAACACAUAAGUCGACAUCCGGUUGACUUUUUCCAACUUAAGUUUCUCAAGAGAGACUAAGUGUCUCAAACCUUACCAAAUCCCUUCCGAACUCGAACCAAUCAACCCGAUCAUAUAUAGAAUCAUUAUACAAAGCAAUAAGAAGCAGAAAUGGGGAAAAUGGAGCACUAAUUCAUAAGACGAUUGGUCGGGUCGUCACACAUAUAUAUACAUAUAUAUAUACGCGUAUAUAAUGCCAUAACAUCAUCACGUCUCUGAGGGCAUCCCAUCAUAUCAUCUCGGCCAUUGUGGGCAAAUCAUCAACGCAUACCAGCUGAUCAGGUAGGGGUGCGUAUAUAACGCUGUAACCUUUUCCAAUAUCCCAUAUACAUAUAUAUACAUAUAUACGCGUAUAUAACGCCAUCUGGUCAUGGGUUAGUGUAAAUGAAUGUAAUGCAUGAAAUGCAUAAGAAAUACGUUAAUAAGAUUUUCUCAGAAUGCCAUAAAACUCAAUAUGCCUUUUGGAUAAACUUUAACAAACACAUAUUUUUUUGAGACCCAUGAACAUAUGAUAUAAUAAUAAUUUACAUGGGGAAUCAAGAAUAUAGACACCCCCAGUAUUUCUAUGAAUAGAGUGAUUUAUGGAAAUUGUGCAUUUGCUCGUGACGUAUAGAUCAUGCCAAAAGAAAGAAGGGAUAGUCUUAACAUACUUAGACAUGCUUGAAUAUCACUUUACAGGAAUGAAUAACAUAAACAUCCUUAACUGUUAAGGUUAGAACCACUUAUGAACUUAAACAAUCGUUUAGGCAUUUGUAAUUGAGAUUUCAUCAAGUUACUACAAUCUUAUUACUUUAGUAUGAUCGAUGAGGACCACUGUGUGUAUAUGAAGUGGUCUGAAACCGAUUACUUAUUGUCACAAACUAGAAGUGAGUGCCAUUGUAUUCUGCACCCACUGACUAAAGGCUCUUGAAUCUACCUCUGAUUUCCACCACAUAUACUAGCAAAAUUAACUCAACAGCUAGCGGGAACUCUAACAGUUAAUAAUGUACUAAACAUGAAAAUAUACAUUCUUGGAGUUUAUUCCUCUAAUCAAGAAAAGUCUUCCAUAUUCCUUCUAUUUUUCACAACAAAGAUCCAAAACUUAUCAAAUUUACAGUAAUAUUCACUACAAAAAGAAGAUACCAAGUUCUGAUCUUUUAAGCAUUAACUUCAACUCUACAACAUGAAUUAUUUUGACUCAUUAUAUGUACAUUAAUAAAGAGACGUAAUGUGAAAGAAGAUCAACCUGAAAGACAACACGGGUCGACCCGAAUUCUGGUUCAAAUGCAUAGGUACCGUUUGAAGCCAAGCAGAGAAGGGCUAUGUAGGUAAUGAAAAUCGAGACCCUUUUGUCUAUAAACAUGUUUCUCU